CCUACGGGAGACAGCAGUAAGGAAUAUUGCUCAAUGGGGGAAACCCUGAAGCAGCAACGCAGCGUGGAGGAUGAAGGUUUUAGGAUUGUAAACUCCUUUUGUGAGAGAAGAUAAUGACGGUAUCUCACGAAUAAUCACCGGCUAACUCCGUGCCAGCAGCCGCGGUACUACGGAGGGUGCAAGCGUUACUCGGAAUCACUGGGCGUAAGGGGUGCGCAGGCGGGCUUGUAAGUCAGUUGUGAAAUCUUGUAGCUUAACUAAAGAACUGCAAUUGAAACUAGGAGUCUAGAGUGUGGGAGAGGUAGGUGGAAUUCGUGGUGUAGGGGUAAAAUCCGUAGAUAUCAAGAGGAAUACUCAUUGCGAAGGCGACCUACUGGAACAUUACUGACGCUCAUGCACGAAAGCGUGGGGAGCAAACAGGAUUAGAUACCCCGGUAGUC
This 440-nucleotide ribosomal RNA is filed under the name uncultured bacterium. RNAcentral's name for it is "partial 16S ribosomal RNA". It matches the Rfam family "Bacterial small subunit ribosomal RNA", at positions 338 to 795 of the family's 1533-position model. The record is from RNAcentral.